RNAcentral lists this ribosomal RNA (518 nucleotides) under uncultured marine bacterium. RNAcentral's name for it is "bacterial SSU rRNA". It matches the Rfam family "Bacterial small subunit ribosomal RNA", at positions 384 to 916 of the family's 1533-position model. The record is from RNAcentral.
UGACGGAGCACGCCGCGUGAGGGAUGAAGGCCUCUGGGCUGUAAACCUCUUUUAUCAAGGAAGAAAAUCUGACGGUACUUGAUGAAUAAACCACGGCUAAUUCCGUGCCAGCAGCCGCGGUAAUACGGGAGUGGCAAGCGUUAUCCGGAAUUAUUGGGCGUAAAGCGUCCGCAGGCGGCCCUUCAAGUCUGCUGUUAAAAAGUGGAGCUUAACUCCAUCAUGGCAGUGGAAACUGUUGGGCUUGAUUGUGGUAGGGGCAUAGGGAAUUCCCGGUGUAGCGGUGAAAUGCGUAGAUAUCGGGAAGAACACCAGUGGCAAAGGCGCUCUGCUGGGCCAUCACUGACGCUCAUGGACGAAAGCCAGGGGAGCGAAAGGGAUUAGAUACCCCUGUAGUCCUGGCCGUAAACGAUGAACACUACGUGUCGGGGGAAUCGACCCCCUCGGUGUCGUAGCCAACGCGUUAAGUGUUCCGCCUGGGGAGUACGCACGCAAGUGUGAAACUCAAAAGAAAUUGACGG